Molecule: ribosomal RNA, 486 nt
Filed under: uncultured bacterium
Lineage: Bacteria
Description: partial 16S ribosomal RNA
Rfam family: Bacterial small subunit ribosomal RNA
Source: RNAcentral
AUUGAACGCUGGCGGCAUGCCUUACACAUGCAAGUCGAACGGCAGCACGGGUGCUUGCACCUGGUGGCGAGUGGCGAACGGGUGAGUAAUACAUCGGAACAUGUCCUGUAGUGGGGGAUAGCCCGGCGAAAGCCGGAUUAAUACCGCAUACGAUCUACGGAUGAAAGCGGGGGACCUUCGGGCCUCGCGCUAUAGGGUUGGCCGAUGGCUGAUUAGCUAGUUGGUGGGGUAAAGGCCUACCAAGGCGACGAUCAGGAGCUGGUCUGAGAGGACGACCAGCCACACUGGGACUGAGACACGGCCCAGACUCCUACGGGAGGCAGCAGUGGGGAAUUUUGGACAAUGGGCGAAGGCCUGAUCCAGCAAUGCCGCGUGUGUGAAGAAGGCCUUCGGGUUGUAAAGCACUUUUGUCCGGAAAGAAAUCCUUGGCCCUAAUACGGUCGGGGGAUGACGGUACCGGAAGAAUAAGCACCGGCUAACUACGUG